RNAcentral lists this ribosomal RNA (475 nucleotides) under Lecidella tumidula. Its description in RNAcentral is "eukaryotic LSU rRNA". It matches the Rfam family "Eukaryotic large subunit ribosomal RNA", at positions 126 to 605 of the family's 3401-position model. The record is from RNAcentral. Lineage: Eukaryota; Fungi; Ascomycota; Lecanoromycetes; Lecanorales; Lecanoraceae.
CCCUUUCGGGGUCCGAGUUGUAAUUUGUAGAGGACGUUUCGGGAGCGGUGCCGGUUUAAGUCCCUUGGAACAGGGCGUCACAGAGGGUGAGAAUCCCGUAUGUGACCGGUGGCCAACCCCAUGUGAAACCCCUUCGACGAGUCGAGUUGUUUGGGAAUGCAGCUCAAAAUGGGUGGUAAAUUUCAUCUAAAGCUAAAUACCGGCCAGAGACCGAUAGCGCACAAGUAGAGUGAUCGAAAGAUGAAAAGCACUUUGGAAAGAGAGUCAAACAGUACGUGAAAUUGUUGAAAGGGAAGCGCUGGCAACCAGACCUGUCCGCGGGCUUCAGCCCCCGUUCUCGGGGGUGUACUUGUCCGCGAUCAGGCCAGCAUCGGUUCGGGCGGUUGGAUAAAGGCCCUGGGAAUGUAGCUUCCCCCGGGAAGUCUUAUAGCCCUCGGCGCAAUGCGGCCAGCCCGGACCGAGGACCGCGCUCGGC